Molecule: ribosomal RNA, 468 nt
Filed under: uncultured bacterium
Lineage: Bacteria
Description: partial 16S ribosomal RNA
Rfam family: Bacterial small subunit ribosomal RNA
Source: RNAcentral
GACGAACGCUGGCGGCGUGCUUAACACAUGCAAGUCGAACGGAAAGGCCCUGCUGUUGUUGGGUGCUCGAGGGGCGAACGGGUGAGAAACAAGUGAGUUACCUGCCAUUGCCUGUGGGAUAACUUCAGGAAACUGGGGUUCAUACCGGGUAGGAUCUCUUGAUGCAUGGUGGGGGAAGGAAAGUUUCGGCGGUUGGGGAUGGACUGGCGGCUUAUCAGCUUGUUGGUGGGGUAGUGGCUUACCAAGGCUUUGGCGGGUGGCCGGCCGGAGGGGGUGACCGGCCACAUUGGAACGGAGAUCCGCCCCGACCCCCUACGGGAGGCAGAGGUGGGGAAUAUUGCACAAUGGGGGGAGGCCGGAGGAGGCAACGCCGCGGGCGGAAUGACGGCCUUCGGUUUGAAAACCGUUUUCGCAGGUGACGAAGCUUGAGUGACGGUAAUUGGAAAAGAAGCACCGGCUAACUACGUG